Molecule: long non-coding RNA, 380 nt
Filed under: Homo sapiens (human)
Lineage: Eukaryota; Metazoa; Chordata; Mammalia; Primates; Hominidae
Description: HSALNT0307182
Source: RNAcentral
AAGGCCUGCCCUAGUUUCACCCACCCCAUCCAUCUCCCUGGGCACACCUGCUCCUGCCAUCGGCACUCCUACUAUCAUGGCUGCAUCUGGGGUUUGGAGUUCACAGAAACCUCUUAAAAAGGCACCCAAUUGCUCAACUUUGCUAAGCAGAUGAAGAGUGAAAUAAAUGUUGCUUCACCAGCUGGGCUGGAAACCAAAUGAAAAUGCAGCAUCUCCAGGCAAUUUCCUUAAAAUGGAUCAACUUGAAACAUUCUCUAUCACAGGACCAGUAGACAGGAGAGGAGCCAAAGAAGGAAGGACUGUGCGUGUCGGAGCAGACAAAGAAUUAAUAAAAGGGUCACUGAACCUGCUCUGAAUCUCAGAUGCAUCCUUCGUGAAGU